GGUCCGAGUUGUAAUUUGUAGAGGAUGCUUUGGGUGCGGCGCCUUCCAAGUUCCCUAGAACGGGACGCCUUAGAGGGUGAGAGCCCCGUACGGUUGGACGCCUAGCCUAUGUAUAGCUCCUUCGACGAGUCGAGUAGUUUGGGAAUGCUGCUCUAAAUGGGAGGUAAAUUUCUUCUAAAGCUAAAUACCGGCCAGAGACCGAUAGCGCACAAGUAGAGUGAUCGAAAGAUGAAAAGUACUUUGAAAAGAGGGUUAAAUAGCACGUGAAAUUGUUGAAAGGGAAGCGUUUGCGACCAGACCUUUUCCAGGCGGAUCAUCCGGCGUUCUCGCCGGUGCACUUCGCCUGGUUUAGGCCAGCAUCGGUUUUCCCAGGGGGAUAAAGGCGGCGGGAACGUGGCUCUCUCGGGAGUGUUAUAGCCCGCCGCGUAAUACCCUUGGGGGGACCGAGGACCGCGCUUCGGCAAGGAUGCUGGCGUAAUGGUCGUCAACGACCCGUCUUGAAACACGGACCAAGGAGUCGAACAUUUGUGCGAGUGUUUGGGUGUCAAACCCUCACGCGUAAUGAAAGUGAACGGAGGUGAGAGCCCCUCGCGGGUGCAUCAUCGACCGAUCCUGAUGUCUUCGGAUGGAUUUGAGUAAGAGCAUAACUGUUCGGACCCGAAAGAUGGUGAACUAUGCGUGGAUAGGGUGAAGCCAGAGGAAACUCUGGUGGAGGCUCGCAGCGGUUCUGACGUGCAAAUCGAUCGUCAAAUCUGCGCAUGGGGGCGAAAGACUUAUCGAACCAUCUAGUAGCUGGUUACCGCCGAAGUUUCCCUCAGGAUAGCAGUGUUGUCUUCAGUUUUAUGAGGUAAAGCGAAUGAUUAGGGACUCGGGGGCGCUAUUUUGCCUUCAUCCAUUCUCAAACUUUAAAUAUGUAAGAAGCCCUUGUUACUUAAUUGAACGUGGGCAUUCGAAUGUACCAACACUAGUGGGCCAUUUUUGGUAAGCAGAACUGGCGAUGCGGGAUGAACCGAACGCGGGGUUAAGG
RNAcentral lists this ribosomal RNA (1027 nucleotides) under Pyrenopolyporus laminosus. Its description in RNAcentral is "partial large subunit ribosomal RNA". It matches the Rfam family "Eukaryotic large subunit ribosomal RNA", at positions 135 to 1185 of the family's 3401-position model. The record is from RNAcentral. Lineage: Eukaryota; Fungi; Ascomycota; Sordariomycetes; Xylariales; Hypoxylaceae.